RNAcentral lists this unclassified non-coding RNA (369 nucleotides) under Hevea brasiliensis (rubber tree). The record is from RNAcentral. Lineage: Eukaryota; Viridiplantae; Streptophyta; Magnoliopsida; Malpighiales; Euphorbiaceae.
UAAUUCAUAAAUAUAUUCUUCCUACACUACACAUCAAGUGCUGCACAGCACAAACAUGUUUGAGACUGGUAGUACAUUUUUGGCAAAGCUCAACCUAACAACCCACCCAUAUCCCUUUAAUUGCAACUACCAAGGCGUAUAAACUCUUUGACCUAAACCAAAGGAAAAACCAAAAAUUAUGUUAAAAUUUUUUACCUAAAUAGAAGGAGAAUUCAUUAUCUACUUGUUUUUGAAGAAACUUCCAGAAAACGUUAUUUUAAUAUUUUAUACUUUACUCUGUUUUGAGAAUGCAACUGAUUUUCAGGAAGCACUUGAGGGUACAUACUAAAAUGAUUAAAAUAUGACAAAAUUUACCUUAUUUGAGAGGGA